RNAcentral lists this long non-coding RNA (292 nucleotides) under Homo sapiens (human). Its description in RNAcentral is "non-protein coding lnc-DMRT2-6:1". The record is from RNAcentral. Lineage: Eukaryota; Metazoa; Chordata; Mammalia; Primates; Hominidae.
GGGUACCGACGGAGGCAUGGAGCACAUGAGUCAUAUAUAUUGAAGUUUUUUUCUAGGAGCAAGUUGGUGUCUUAGACAAGGGUGGUAGUGGCAUAGGUGGGAAGAAAUGGGGGUUGGAUUCUGGAUAUACCUUGAAGGUUGAGACAACAGUAGUUGCUGAUGGUUUGGAUGGGAUAAGUGAGAGGAAGAAAGAUGUCAAGGACAAUACCAUGGUUUAUAACCUGAGCAGCUAGAAGAGUAAAGAUACUGUUUGCUGAGAUAUCACAGAAGGAAUAGGCUUCAGAGUGUGGGG